Molecule: ribosomal RNA, 717 nt
Filed under: Lutibacter sp.
Lineage: Bacteria; Pseudomonadati; Bacteroidota; Flavobacteriia; Flavobacteriales; Flavobacteriaceae
Description: bacterial SSU rRNA
Rfam family: Bacterial small subunit ribosomal RNA
Source: RNAcentral
GAUGAACGCUAGCGGCAGGCUUAACACAUGCAAGUCGAGGGGUAACAGGGUGCUUGCACCGCUGACGACCGGCGCACGGGUGCGUAACGCGUAUAGAACCUACCUUUUACAGGAGAAUACCCCAGAGAAAUUUGGAAUAAUGCUCCAUAGUAUUAUUGAAUGGCAUCAUUUGAUAAUUAAACAUUUAUGGGUAAAAGAUGGCUAUGCGUUCUAUUAGCUAGAUGGUAAGGUAACGGCUUACCAUGGCAACGAUAGAUAGGGGUCCUGAGAGGGAGAUCCCCCACACUGGUACUGAGACACGGACCAGACUCCUACGGGAGGCAGCAGUGAGGAAUAUUGGACAAUGGAGGCAACUCUGAUCCAGCCAUGCCGCGUGCAGGAAGACGGUCCUAUGGAUUGUAAACUGCUUUUAUACAGGAAGAAACACUCCCUCGUGAGGGAGCUUGACGGUACUGUAUGAAUAAGCACCGGCUAACUCCGUGCCAGCAGCCGCGGUAAUACGGAGGGUGCAAGCGUUAUCCGGAAUCAUUGGGUUUAAAGGGUCCGUAGGCGGGCUAAUAAGUCAGGGGUGAAAUCCAACAGCUUAACUGUUGAAUUGCCUUUGAUACUGUUAGUCUUGAGUUAUAUGGAAGUAGAUAGAAUGUGUAGUGUAGCGGUGAAAUGCUUAGAGAUUACACAGAAUACCGAUUGCGAAGGCAGUCUACUACGUAUAUACUG